Molecule: ribosomal RNA, 256 nt
Filed under: uncultured bacterium
Lineage: Bacteria
Description: partial 16S ribosomal RNA
Rfam family: Bacterial small subunit ribosomal RNA
Source: RNAcentral
GUCCACGCCGUAAACGAUGGAUACUAGCUGUUGGGGCAACUUCAGUGGCUAAGCGAAAGUGAUAAGUAUCCCACCUGGGGAGUACGUUCGCAAGAAUGAAACUCAAAGGAAUUGACGGGGCCCGCACAAGCGGUGGAGCAUGUGGUUUAAUUCGAUGCAACGCGAAGAACCUUACCUGGUCUUGACAUAGUAAGAACUUUCCAGAGAUGGAUUGGUGCCUUCGGGAACUUACAUACAGGUGCUGCAUGGCUGUCGU